RNA transcript from Cephus cinctus (wheat stem sawfly), 2810 nucleotides. It is a transcript of the gene named protein cramped-like, with no coding region annotated. The transcript has 13 exons. Lineage: Eukaryota; Metazoa; Arthropoda; Insecta; Hymenoptera; Cephidae. The record is from RefSeq and is a predicted model, not a curated record.
AAACUGAGUGUGCAAUUUCAGCUAUACCUUAGCAAAAGGGCUAAAUUCUGCAAAAUACGACUUCUUCUUGAAGUUAGCUGUCGAUUGUUUAAUUUUGUUUACAUUUAAUUCUUCAAGAAGGAGUCAUAUUCUGCAGUUUUAUCCUGUCUUCUUGAUACACAUUUAUGAAACCAUUCAUUGACUGGAAGAUUUAUGCGUCUACUAUAUAUUUCACACUGCAACACAAUGGAGCUUGACCAUAAUGCAGAAAUUACGGUAAAGAAUGAUGAAACUGAAGGUCAGACUCUAAAACGAGAAGAUCCACAAGUUCAGAUAGAUGUGAAAACUUCUGAUUCGAAAAAUUGUCAGGCAAAAAUAGUCAGGCCCACAAAAAAAAUGAGAAUGGAUUCUGGCGACUCAGGUCAACUUUAUGAUCGAAAGGAGUCAAAGGAUGAUGAGAAUGCAGAAGCUAAAAUUGUUAGGUCCUUUAAAAGAUCCUGUGAACUCUGGUCGAUGGAGGACAAGAACACUUUCUUCAAGGCUUUAAAUGAAUUUGGCAAAGAUUUUGAUGCAUUGCAAAGCUUUUUCCUUAGUCAAGGAAAGAAAAAGGGUCUGCCGGAUAAUAUGAUUAAAAACAAGGAGCAAAUAAGGCACUUUUACUACAGAACCUGGCUUAAGAUAUCAAAGCAUUUAAAGUUUUCUGAAGACGUAAAAAAGGCAUCGCAAGAACUUUAUGGGUUAAUAAAUUAUGGAGAAUUGAGACGAAAAUUGCCACGAAUUCAUGAAAAAGUACAUCUCAAACUGAAUGAGCUUGUUUACUGGGGUUCCACCCAAGUUAGGCUGCGUGGCAAGACUAUGAGAAUUAAGACACCAAUUUGCAGAGCACUUAGAAAACUCAAUCAACUUGAAGAUUGGCAAGAGGAAAUCAAACUACCUUCCAGAGUGACUAUUGAACUGAGGCCAAGAACGAAUUUGGCCUGGUGGGAAGUUCAGGCUGCAGCAAUGAAUCCUAGAGUCAGAACUCUUGUUCCUGUUCAAAGAAGACUUUCCAGCUUACUAACAUUUCUACAGCAAAGAUGGAAACCUGUGAAGUACAGGACUUGUGUAGUCUCUGAAAGUGAAUUAUCUGGUGACUCGAAGGAUAUCCGACUGUUGCGCGUUAUUCCUCCGGAGUCCUGUAAGAUCGCUUUGCCAACGGUGAACCUAGGCGAAUAUUUAACGAGUAAUAGCGUCAGUUUAAACUCUUACGAGAAACGACUCUGUUUGAAAAGUUCACGUGAAGAAUUACUUGGUUCCGUACAAUAUUUGAAGGGCGUUGGCAAGAAGGGAAUCAAGAGAUACAAAAUGGACAAACGAUUUCCAAAUCGUGCCGAGGAUGCAUCCUCAACCCAACCAGACAACAAUAGCGACUUGGAAGUUGCGGAAGGAAUUGUAUCGGAAAAGCCAACGGAUAUUACAAAUUCUGAUAGAAGUUUAUCUGAACAUUUGAGUGAACCCAACAGAUUUCCAGGAAGAGAGACAGUGACCAGAAUUCGACAAGGUUGGAACAUCGAGGAAGCCAAUACUAUUACCGUGGGUGAUCUCUUUCUAAUGUUUGGUAGGGACUCAAAAAUAAUUCUGGAAUAUUUGUGGGAUUUACCAGUGCAAAGUCAAAGUCCUUCCAUAGAAAAGACUAAGUCCAUUGCUUCUACAAGAGAUGAUAGUCUAUGUUUGGCUUUGCAGAAGUUAUUGUCUAUUGCCAAGCACAGUUAUGGUACUAGUAAGGUGUAUGAUAACACAUCAGGAAGUAAUGAGACCGUCAUAUCUUCAAGGAUUCCAUCGACCAAAGAAUCCACAUUUCGACGACCUUUAAUUCCGCAGGCUUAUCACAAACUCGGAACACCGGAUGCUUUCAAAACUCAACUUGACAAAUUCAAAAAUCGAUUUUGCAAAAGGGGUAGAACGGUGCGUCAAAGAAAUUUGGUAGUACAACGAGUACUGCCUUUGGUCUCUGGUACAUCGUCGACAAACUCGUCGUCAGCGAGUUUACUGCAGCAAGGAGUAUCCUCUCCAGUUGGGGAAACUACACCAGAAAGCGAAACUCCAGAUGAGGUGGUUGAUAAGGCAGAAAUGCCUGCAGAGGAUUCUCAAGAUAAAAACUUUCUUGGCGUAUUGGCGGCCGAAGGGCGGGCACAGCCAUCGAAUUCAAUAAUUACAAGCGCCACUCAAAUACUGAAGGAAGGCGAACAUCAGUGGCUCAACAGCGAGGUCGCGGAUUUCUCGCUAAGCAGUUUUCUCGGACAACUCGAAUCUCCAGUGAAGUCGCAUCGUGGGCAACUAGGAAGUCAACCUGUGGAAGACGUUCGACCAUCGUCAGAUGUUGUCACUCAAAUGCAAUGCCUAAUGGGAGAAAACAGCGUGGAUUACAUGGCGAAAUUUGCUAAUUUAGCAUCACAAAUCGCAUCCGACGACCAAAAGAAAUGAAAACCGAAAUCCGCAUACAGUGAAGUCAAAUAGGAAGCACAACGAAUAUAGUCGUCCGAGCACGUGACCCUCGUCCAAGAGCCAAUCAGAAAGACGUGUAGUCAUCGCCUGCGACUUUUUCCUGGUUCACGAAUUAAAGGGCAUUAUGUGGAUUUUUCAUCAUCGUUUAGCGAAGAACCGUGAGCAAUUAUACAGCAUUACAAUCGCAAUCGUAUUAUUAUGCUAAUCCAGCAGGACAGACUAGUUUGAGAAAUUUCUUAUAAUCCUGCGGAAGUUGGAAAUUAAUUGAAUCCGAAUCAGACUGCAAGGAUUUAGAAACGGCUACGUCUCUUCAAAGAUCUGUUAUCAUCGUAAAUGGCAUUCCGCAG